This 669-nucleotide small RNA is filed under the name Pongo abelii (Sumatran orangutan). RNAcentral's name for it is "processed transcript". The record is from RNAcentral. Lineage: Eukaryota; Metazoa; Chordata; Mammalia; Primates; Hominidae.
ACGAAGCUUCACAAAAGAUGUCUAAGCAACAGCCAACUCAGUUUAUAAAUCCAGAAACACCUGGCUAUGUUGGAUUUGCAAAUCUCCCCAAUCAAGUUCACCGAAAAUCAGUGAAAAAAGGUUUUGAGUUCACACUGAUGGUGGUCGGUGAAUCAGGUCUAGGAAAAUCGACUCUCAUAAACAGCCUAUUCCUAACUGAUCUCUACCCAGAAAGAGUCAUACCUGGAGCAGCAGAAAAAAUUGAAAGAACUGUCCAGAUUGAGGCUUCAACUGUUGAAAUUGAAGAGCGAGGGGUCAAGCUACGCCUGACAGUGGUAGAUACCCCUGGCUAUGGUGACGCUAUCAACUGCAGAGAUUGUCACGUUCCUGAAAAGAAUUGGCAGCCCUGGCCAGGUGCGGUGGCUCACGCCUGUAAUCCCAGCACUUUGGGAGGCUGAGGUGGGCUGAUCACAAGGUCAGGAGUUCGAGACCAGCCUGGCCAACAUGGUGAAACCCUGUCACUACUAAAAAUACAAAAAUUAGCCGGGCGUGGUGGCGUGUGCCUAUAAUCCCAGCUACUCGGGAGGUUGAGGCAGGAGAAUCGCUUGAACCCGGGAGGCGGAGGUUGCAGUGAGCUGAGAUUGUGCCACUGCACUCCAGCCUGGGCAACAGAGCGAGACUCAGUCUCAA